CGCAGCUACCAUGCAAGUCGAGCGGAGAUGAGGUGCUUGCACCUUAUCUUAGCGGCGGACGGGCGAGUAAUGCUUAGGAAUCUGCCUAUUAGUGGGGGACAACAUUCCGAAAGGAAUGCUAAUACCGCAUACGUCCUACGGGAGAAAGCAGGGGAUCUUCGGACCUUGCGCUAAUAGAUGAGCCUAAGUCGGAUUAGCUAGUUGGUGGGGUAAAGGCCUACCAAGGCGACGAUCUGUAGCGGGUCUGAGAGGAUGAUCCGCCACACUGGGACUGAGACACGGCCCAGACUCCUACGGGAGGCAGCAGUGGGGAAUAUUGGACAAUGGGGGGAACCCUGAUCCAGCCAUGCCGCGUGUGUGAAGAAGGCCUUAUGGUUGUAAAGCACUUUAAGCGAGGAGGAGGCUACUGAGACUAAUACUCUUGGAUAGUGGACGUUACUCGCAGAAUAAGCACCGGCUAACUCUGUGCCAGCAGCCGCGGUAAUACAGAGGGUGCGAGCGUUAAUCGGAUUUACUGGGCGUAAAGCGUGCGUAGGCGGCUUUUUAAGUCGGAUGUGAAAUCCCCGAGCUUAACUUGGGAAUUGCAUUCGAUACUGGGAAGCUAGAGUAUGGGAGAGGAUGGUAGAAUUCCAGGUGUAGCGGUGAAAUGUGUAGAGAUCUGGAGGAAUACCGAUGGCGAAGGCAGCCAUCUGGCCUAAUACUGACGCUGAGGUACGAAAGCAUGGGGAGCAAACAGGAUUAGAUACCCUGGUAGUCCAUGCCAUAAACGAUGUCUACUAGCCGUUGGGGCCUUUGAGGCUUUAGUGGCGCAGCUAACGCGAUAAGUAGACCGCCUGGGGAGUACGGUCGCAAG
RNAcentral lists this ribosomal RNA (853 nucleotides) under uncultured bacterium. RNAcentral describes it as "bacterial SSU rRNA". It matches the Rfam family "Bacterial small subunit ribosomal RNA", at positions 45 to 892 of the family's 1533-position model. The record is from RNAcentral.